Molecule: ribosomal RNA, 497 nt
Filed under: uncultured bacterium
Lineage: Bacteria
Description: partial 16S ribosomal RNA
Rfam family: Bacterial small subunit ribosomal RNA
Source: RNAcentral
GAUGAACGCUGGCGGCAUGCCUAAUACAUGCAAGUCGAGCGAACGGACGAGAAGCUUGCUUCUCUGAUGUUAGCGGCGGACGGGUGAGUAACACGUGGAUAACCUACCUAUAAGACUGGGAUAACUUCGGGAAACCGUAGCUAAUACCGGAUAAUAUUUUGAACCGCAUGGUUCAAAAGUGAAAGACGGUCUUGCUGUCACUUAUAGAUGGAUCCGCGCUGCAUUAGCUAGUUGGUAGGGUAACGGCUUACCAAGGCAACGAUGCAUAGCCGACCUGAGAGGGUGAUCGGCCACACUGGAACUGAGACACGGUCCAGACUCCUACGGGAGGCAGCAGUAGGGAAUCUUCCGCAAAGGGCGAAAGCCUGACGGAGCAACGCCGCGUGAGUGAUGAAGGUCUUCGGAUCGUAAAACUCUGUUAUUAGGGAAGAACAUAUGUGUAAGUAACUGUGCACAUCUUGACGGUACCUAAUCAGAAAGCCACGGCUAACUACGUG